GAUGAACGCUGGCGGCGUGCCUAAUACAUGCAAGUCGAGCGAACGGACGAGAAGCUUGCUUUUCUGAUGUUAGCGGCGGACGGGUGAGUAACACGUGGAUAACCUACCUAUAAGACUGGGAUAACUUCGGGAAACCGGAGCUAAUACCGGAUAAUAUUUUGAACCGCAUGGUUCAAAAGUGAAAGACGGUCUUGCUGUCACUUAUAGAUGGAUCCGCGCUGCAUUAGCUAGUUGGUAAGGUAACGGCUUACCAAGGCAACGAUGCAUAGCCGACCUGAGAGGGUGAUCGGCCACACUGGAACUGAGACACGGUCCAGACUCCUACGGGAGGCAGCAGUAGGGAAUCUUCCGCAAUGGGCGAAAGCCUGACGGAGCAACGCCGCGUGAGUGAUGAAGGUCUUCGGAUCGUAAAACUCUGUUAUUAGGGAAGAACAUAUGUGUAAGUAACUGUGUACAUCUUGACGGUACCUAAUCAGAAAGCCACGGCUAACUACGUG
Molecule: ribosomal RNA, 497 nt
Filed under: uncultured bacterium
Lineage: Bacteria
Description: partial 16S ribosomal RNA
Rfam family: Bacterial small subunit ribosomal RNA
Source: RNAcentral